UUUACUGUGGCUCAGUUGGUGGAGCAUUGCACUAACAUAACAAAGGCCAAGGGUUCAAAUCCAAGGGAAA
Molecule: non-coding RNA, 70 nt
Organism: Danionella cerebrum
Lineage: Eukaryota; Metazoa; Chordata; Actinopteri; Cypriniformes; Danionidae
Source: the annotation of a GenBank genome assembly